Molecule: transfer RNA, 77 nt
Filed under: Nakamurella multipartita DSM 44233
Lineage: Bacteria; Bacillati; Actinomycetota; Actinomycetes; Nakamurellales; Nakamurellaceae
Description: tRNA-Leu
Rfam family: tRNA
About the family: Transfer RNA (tRNA) molecules are approximately 80 nucleotides in length. Their secondary structure includes four short double-helical elements and three loops (D, anti-codon, and T loops). Further hydrogen bonds mediate the characteristic L-shaped molecular structure. tRNAs have two regions of fundamental functional importance: the anti-codon, which is responsible for specific mRNA codon recognition, and the 3' end, to which the tRNAs corresponding amino acid is attached (by aminoacyl-tRNA synthetases). tRNAs cope with the degeneracy of the genetic code in two manners: having more than one tRNA (with a specific anti-codon) for a particular amino acid; and 'wobble' base-pairing, i.e. permitting non-standard base-pairing at the 3rd anti-codon position.
Source: RNAcentral
GCCCCCGUAGCCCAAUCGGCAGAGGCAGGCCACUUAAAAUGGUUCCAGUGUGGGUUCGAGUCCCACCGGGGGCACCG